ACCACAGUCCUUCUGAUUUCAAGUUACCUCCACCUGUGUGACCUACCAGGUGUAGGACUGCAUCCUCCCCAAAGGCCUAAUUCAUUUCACCUGUGGCAAUCCAUAAAUAAAGGCACUUGUUUGUGCCUAUUGGGCUCUUUCUCUGUAGGCUGCAGCUUAGGCCUUGUUUCCUUAGUGCUGCUGAGGGAGCACGGCUGCAGCCAUUUAUGUGGGUACUGCUCUUUUGACUUCAGCUUCACUCAUGGAAAUGGCACUGAACGUGCCUAAAGGAUGGGAGGACAGACCCUGUCAUGCUGCUGCCACUCGUGUUGCUUUCACUGUGCUCACCCCUUCUGUCUUCAUGUCACCUUGUGCCAUGUCUUUGUGUCACAAGUACGUCACCAUGAUCUGCAAAGGGGUAGAGGCUGGGUUAGAUGCCUUAAGUACUCAAAGGACCAGGAAGUAGUUGAGAACAGCAUGAAGCACUUGGUGAGCUGCGGAAAAGAUCCCAGCCCAUGAGAAAUGGGAAAGCAGAGCUUGAACAACAGCUCCUGCUCUGCAAACAGUUUCUAACUGGUCCCUUGGACUUGAACUGUUAGGAGUAGAGUUAAGGCUAUACAGACAGUUGAGUAUCAGAAAGCAGAAUGAGGAAGCGUUAGGACUACUUUAUGUAUUUUAGGAGAAAGUACAAAUCCUAGCUAUGAAACUCCUUUUUCAUAAGUAGUAUAAAAUAAUGUGCUACUUUAGAAAUGUGACCCCCUUUCUGGAGCUAAGUUAUCUGCAGGUAUCAACUCAUUUACUGUGGUGAAGAAGCACCAACCUUGCUAGUGACCUGUCAGAGCUUGCUAUUAUUUCAAAGCGUUUGCCUGCUGAAAAUCAAGAAGAACACUAUCCUGCUAGUUCCUCUGGCAUCUUAAAGAUUUCAGUUGUAUCCCUCUUUAACCUUCCUUUUCUCCAGUGUGUACAGUGGGUUUUUUAUCUUAAGUUGAAAGAGUUAGUCCCUACUGAAGUUCAAUAAGGCUCAUUUUUCUUCAAAGCUUACGAAACUCUUCUCUUUUUCAUUAAUAAAUUGAUUUUUGUUAAUGCA
RNAcentral lists this long non-coding RNA (1066 nucleotides) under Coturnix japonica (Japanese quail). RNAcentral's name for it is "lncRNA (ENSCJPG00005014652.1)". Lineage: Eukaryota; Metazoa; Chordata; Aves; Galliformes; Phasianidae. The record is from RNAcentral.